This is a long non-coding RNA of Glycine soja, 467 nucleotides long. RefSeq lists it as uncharacterized. The transcript is spliced from 3 exons. The record is from RefSeq and is a predicted model, not a curated record. NCBI's taxonomy places the organism in Eukaryota, Viridiplantae, Streptophyta, Magnoliopsida, Fabales, Fabaceae.
ACCUUCUCUUUUCUCCGCACUCACCACUUUCCACAGAAACCAACUUGCACUCAAAUCGUCGCUUGCCGCAUCGAAACGUGAUGGCGAUGUUGUCGCUGCGACGAUACCGCCGAUGCUGUCGUGUGAAGUGACGGUGAAAUUCUCAGCCAAGUAGUGUCUUCUCAGGUUAAUUGAGAAAGAUUUGCAGUUUCCAUUCAUGGCCCAACUUAUUUCAGGUAUCAUUCCUAUUUUUGGGUUUUAGUUUUGUUAGUCAAGAAGUGGACCAGGCGUGCAACUGAUUAAGCCCAUUAAGGGUGUGCUUAUGUCAGCAAACCAACAACUGCCUAUAAAUAGGAAUAACUGUAAAGUGUAAUCAGUUUAGGGGACUUUUGGAAACUGAGAAAGCGGUGUAAGGACGAGGGAGGAGAGGGGAAGAGAGGUACAUUUCUCACGUACAUUUUCUGAGUGGAGACGAGGGAGGAGAGGGG